Molecule: long non-coding RNA, 325 nt
Organism: Bubalus bubalis (water buffalo)
Lineage: Eukaryota; Metazoa; Chordata; Mammalia; Artiodactyla; Bovidae
Exons: 2
Source: RefSeq, a predicted model, not a curated record
UAGUAGAUUCCAGUGGAACUGCCUUUAACUUGGGGUUGUUUUCUAGAGCCAGCGUCUACAACAAAAACUGAAACGAAAAUGCUAUGGGAAAUUUCAUUUGAAAAAAAAAAAUCAUUUAAGAAAGAGCUGGGUUUUCCUCCAGUGUUAGAAAUGAUUAUUCUUUGGCUUCUUAGUGAAGCAAUUCACAGUCCUGUAUUCAGGAGCCCUGUGACUGAGAAUGACCCAGAAUCUUCCUACCUUAUACAUCACCUGGAAGACUGCCAACGCCUUAGUGAGGAGUCCAGCCCAUCCUCUCCAUCACCAUGGAUGUGGUAGCCCACAGGAU